AGAGCGGCGAGCCGGUGAGUGUGGCUGCGGGGUCGCGCCCACCCUCUACCUGUGCCGGGGGCCGGAACCUGGCCCCGGGGAGGGCGCGGCCUCGGGGAGACGGCGUGCAGGCCCAGCACUGUUGGUCACCGCAGGCCUGUCUUCCUAUUCACCGUGGGCAGCAGAGGGAUGGCUGCUCAGCUGCUGACUGAUGAGGCACUGUUCUAACAGAAUGGGAAGACAGAUGGACAAAUGACCUCCUGGUGCUGAGAGAGGGAAGGAGGCAGCUGCCUGUGGAUCCACUGUGCUGGGGCUAGCCCCAGAGGAGGGGGCUCACACUGCUGGGAGGUCCUUUCCAGGCUGUGUGGCUGCAGGUCAUGAACUCUGAGAGUUUGAGAUGAGCCUCUAAAAGCUGUAUCAAUAGCACCUUGCACUGUUGAAGCAGAUAGUGUCUUGCAAUGUCGCCCAGGCUGGAGUGCAGUGGUGCCCCUCCUGUUGUGAAUCUUUGAAUCUGCUGUUAUUAAGUUGCUGGUGCUGAAAUAACACUUAUUAUUUAUGAUCUAACUGAAAUGGGAACACUGGAAACUUCUUUGAAACUGAAGAAAAAAAUGAAAAAGAAGUUUUUACAAUCAAAACUGCCAUGAAGACUGCUUUACCCAAAAUUUUGGUCCACAGCUUUCAUUGAAUUACUUAUCAGGGCAAACAAAGUUUAGCCAUGUGAACACGUUCCAAUUUUGUUGGAAAUAAUUUGGAUCCAGCUAUCUUUAUACAAUGGUGAGUUCGUAUUGCAUCUCAUGGCUAAAAUACUGAGGUAAAGGCUUUUGGAUCUUUGUGUGUGUGUGUGUGCAUGUGACAAAAACAAGCAAUGGGGAAAGGAGUCCCUAUUUAAUAAAUGGUGUUGGGAGAACUGGCUAGCCAUAUGCAGAAAGUUGAAACUGGAGCCCCUCCUUAUACCAUAUACAAAAAUCAACUCAAGAUGAAUUAAAGACUUAAAUGUAAAAACCCAAACUAUAAAAACCCUAGAAGAAAAUCUAGGCAAUACCAUUCAGGACAUGGGCACAGGCAAAUAUUUCAUGACAAAGAUGCCAAAAGCAGUAGCAACAAAAGCAAAAAUUGACAAAUGGAAUCUAAUUAAACUAAAGAGCUUCUGUACAGCAAAGAAAUUAUCAUCAGAGUGAACAGACAGCUUACAGCAUGGGAGAAAAUUUUUGCAGUAUAUCCAUCUGACAAAGGUCUAAUAUUCAGCAUCUACAAGGAACUUAAACAAAUUUACAAGAAAAAAAAACAACGCCAUUAAAAAAUGGGCAAAGGACGUGGACAGACACUUCUCAAAAGAAGAAAUUUAUGUGGGCAAUGAACAUUUUUUUUAAAAAAGCUCAACACCACUGAUCAUUAGAGAAAUGCACAUGAAAACCACAAUGAGAUACCAUCUCACACCAGUCAGAAUGGCUAUUACUUAAAGGUCAAAAAACAACAGAUGAUAGCAAGGUUGUGAAGAAAAAUGAACACUUUUAUACGUUGGUUGGAGUAUAAAUUAGUUCUACCCUUGUCGAAGACAGUGUGGUGAUUCCUCAAAGACCUAGGGGAAGAAAUAUCAUUUGACCCAGCAAUCUCAUUACUGGGUAUAUACCCAGAGGAAUAUAAAUCAUUCUAUUAUAAAGAUACAUGUGCAUGUUCAUUGCAAAAUAGCAAAAACAUGGAAUCAACCUAAAUGCUCAUCAAUGACAGACUUGAUAAAGGAAAUAUGGUACGUAUACACCAAGGAAUACCAUGCAGCCAUAAAAAGGAACAAGAUAAUGUCUUUUGCAGGGACCUGGAUGGAACCAGAAGCCAUUAUCCUCAGCAAAUUAAUGCAGGAACAGAAAAGCAAAUACCACAUGUUCUCACUUGUAAGUGGUAGCUGAAUGAUGAGAACACAUGGACACAUGGUGGGGAACAAUACACACUGGGGCCUGUUGCAGGGUGCGGAGUGGGAGGGAGAGCAUCGGGAAGAAUAGCUAAUGCAUGCUGGGCUUAAUACCUAGGGGAUGGAAUGAUCUGUGCUGCAAACCACUAUGGCACACAUUUACCUAUGUAACAAACCUACACAUCCUGCACAUGUACCCCUGACCUU
Homo sapiens (human) is the source of this 2092-nucleotide long non-coding RNA. Ensembl annotates it as ZIM2 antisense RNA 1. Its record names the gene ZIM2-AS1. The record is from Ensembl. Lineage: Eukaryota; Metazoa; Chordata; Mammalia; Primates; Hominidae.